RNAcentral lists this ribosomal RNA (534 nucleotides) under Charaxes solon (black rajah). Its description in RNAcentral is "partial 16S ribosomal RNA". The stretch from base 402 to 534 matches the Rfam family "Archaeal large subunit ribosomal RNA", at positions 2542 to 2675 of the family's 2987-position model. Lineage: Eukaryota; Metazoa; Arthropoda; Insecta; Lepidoptera; Nymphalidae. The record is from RNAcentral.
AAAAACAUGUCUUUUUGAUAAUAAUUUAAAGUCUAAUCUGCCCACUGAUAUAUUAUAUUAAAGGGCUGCAGUAUAUUGACUGUACAAAGGUAGCAUAAUCAAUAGUCUUUUAAAUGAAGACUUGUAUGAAGGAUUUGAUGAAAUAUAAACUGUCUCUUAAUUAAAAAUAAAAUUUUAUUUUUUAGUAAAAAAGCUAAAAUUUAUUUAAAAGACGAGAAGACCCUAUAGAGUUUUAUAAUUAUUUUAUUUAAAAUUAAAUAUUUAAAUUAUAUAACAUAAAAAAUAAAAUAAUUAUUAUAUUGGGGUGAUAGAAAAAUUAAAAUAACUUUUUUUAAAAAUUAAACAUUAAUAAAUGAUUUUAUGAUCCAUUAAUAAUGAUUAUAAGAAAAAAUUACCUUAGGGAUAACAGCGUAAUAUUUUUUUUUAGUUCAAAUAAAAAAAAGAGUUUGCGACCUCGAUGUUGGAUUAAGAUAAAAUUUAAAUGCAAAAGUUUAAAAUUUUGAUCUGUUCGAUCAUUAAAAUCUUACAUGAUCU